RNAcentral lists this unclassified non-coding RNA (257 nucleotides) under rhizosphere metagenome. RNAcentral's name for it is "partial ribosomal RNA internal transcribed spacer region". The record is from RNAcentral.
GUUGGUGAACCAGCGGAGGGAUCAUUACCGAGUUUACAACUCCCAAACCCAAUGUGAACGUUACCAAACUGUUGCCUCGGCGGGAUCUCUGCCCCGGGUGCGUCGCAGCCCCGGACCAAGGCGCCCGCCGGAGGACCAACCAAAACUCUUAUUGUAUACCCCCUCGCGGGUUUUUUUAUAAUCUGAGCCUUCUCGGCGCCUCUCGUAGGCGUUUCGAAAAUGAAUCAAAACUUUCAACAACGGAUCUCUUGGUUCUG